AGAAGCUGCCCAGCAGAAUCCAACCUUGGAUAGAUGCCAUAGCCCAUAUCUUUGCUCUGCAAUAUACAGCUGAGAACCUCUGGAUUGUAGCAUUCAAAUAUGUUGAUGUGUGCCAUAGUUCCCAAAGAUUCCCAUAUCUGAAUUUGUUUUCACUUCCACAAUUCUGACAUUUGCUACCAAAUUGUGGUAGUCUGUACUUCAUAUUUGUAAAAUAGUAAAAGUGCAUACUUGAAUGAAGUUACUUUGGAUUUACAAAGGAGCUUUCAGUCUGCCCGAGAUACCCAGAGGAGAAGUUAUUUCUGCCAUUGAGAGCAGCAACAUCAGUAACAGCACAGCCAUUCCAGGUAAAAAUAACCUCGAUGGAGAGUCCUGUCACAGGC
RNAcentral lists this long non-coding RNA (380 nucleotides) under Heterocephalus glaber (naked mole-rat). RNAcentral's name for it is "lncRNA (ENSHGLG00100038022.1)". The record is from RNAcentral. Lineage: Eukaryota; Metazoa; Chordata; Mammalia; Rodentia; Bathyergidae.